RNAcentral lists this long non-coding RNA (527 nucleotides) under Felis catus (domestic cat). RNAcentral describes it as "lncRNA (ENSFCAG00000042110.2)". Lineage: Eukaryota; Metazoa; Chordata; Mammalia; Carnivora; Felidae. The record is from RNAcentral.
AGGAAAGGUGAGAUUUGAAUUUUGAUCCCACCAGUGAGCUGGAGGCACAACGGAAUGGCAGCCUAGAACAAGCAGUAUAAGAAAAGCACCAUUUAUGGGGUGUUGGCUGGGCUCCAUGAAGGCGUUUCAGGGCUACACAUGGAAGGCACUCCUGGUGUAUCUCCGGGAACGCAGGAGAUCCCUACCAAGCAGGUAGUCAAAUUCCAAGCCUCACGCCCCACCUGCCCCUUGUGGCCCGAUCUACUUAGCCUGACCUCAAGGCCUGGCAUUCUGUCUCAGAUCCAAGUUCCUGCUCCUUCAGGCCUGCGUCUUGUCCUGCACAUCAUACACCUGUCAACCCGGACUAUUCACUCUUCCCAGAACCUCCUCUGUGCUUUUUCACCUCUGUGCCUUUGUUCAGGAUGUCCCUACAGCUGGAAUGCUCAUCAGCACCACCUUAGUUCUAUUCCUGCAACUGCUUCUGGUCCAGGACACAAAAGGAAACCCAUUCGAAGCAUUCAGUAUCAAUCCCAAGUCGUAUCUUGACC